Molecule: ribosomal RNA, 274 nt
Filed under: uncultured bacterium
Lineage: Bacteria
Description: partial 16S ribosomal RNA
Rfam family: Bacterial small subunit ribosomal RNA
Source: RNAcentral
AUACGGAGGGUGCAAGCGUUAUCCGGAAUCAUUGGGCUCAAAGGGUCCGCAGGCGGAUUAAUAAGUCAGUGGUGAAAUCCUCUCGCUCAACGAGAGAACUGCCAUUGAAACUGUUAGUCUUGAAUUCGGUCGAAGUAGGCGGAAUGUGUCAUGUAGCGGUGAAAUGCAUAGAUAUGACACAGAACACCGAUAGCGAAGGCAGCUUACUAGACCUGGAUUGACGCUCAUGGACGAAAGCGUGGGGAGCGAACAGGAUUAGAAACCCGAGUAGUCC